UGAUGGUUUCAAGAAUAAACUAGGUCAAGGAGGAUAUGGUUCUGUGUUUAAAGGAAAACUUCGAAGUGGUCAACUUGUUGCGAUAAAAUUGUUAAACAAGUCAAAAGCUAACGGCCAAGAUUUCAUCAAUGAAGUUGCAACUAUUGGAAGGAUUCAUCAUGUUAAUGUGGUAAGACUUAUUGGAUUUUUCGUAAAGGGAUCAAAACAAGCUCUUGUAUAUGACUUCAUGAAGAAUGGGUCCUUGGAUAAAAUUAUAUUUUCAGCUGAAAAUAACACUUUGAGUUGGCAAAAAAUGUUUGAGAUUGCAUUGGGAGUGGCUCGAGGUAUUGAAUAUUUGCAUAGAGGUUGUGAAAUGCAAAUUUUACAUUCUGAUAUCAAUCCACAUAACAUUCUUUAAGAUGAGAACUUUGCUCCAAAGGUUUCAGAUUUUGGUCUCGCAAAGUUGUAUUCAGUGGACGAUGAUAUCAUUUCUCUCACAGCAGCAAGAGGUACAGUAGGAUAUAUGGCUCCUGAAUUAUUUUAUAAAAAUAUCGGAGGUAUCUCAUAUAAAGCCGAUGUUUAUAGUUUUGGAAUGAUGCUAAUGGAAAUUAUUGGAAGGAGAAAAAAUUUGAAUGCCUCUGCUGAAUAUUCAAGUCAAAUUUAUUUUCCAUCAUGGAUAUAUGAUGGAUUAGAUGAAGGAGAUAUCAUGGAGCUUGGAGAUUUGAAAGAAAAUGAAAACAAAAUUAUGAGGAAAAUGGCAAUAGCAGCCUUAUGGUGCAUACAGAUGAAGCCCACGGAUCGGCCUUCAAUGAACAAAGCCUUGAAGAUGCUUGAAAGUGAAGUUGAGAUCCUUGAAAUGCCUCCCAAGCCUUCUUUCUCUCUAAAUGUCAACUAAAGGUAGUAAAGAAUUCUCCCCGCACACGUGGCAAUCGGCCUUCCUCAGCUACCUCGUGAUCAUAUGUAUACAUGCACGUCAAUGUAGGGUCAUGUGUAUCUCUUAAAUUGCAGGAUGAAGAUGAAUUCUUCGGUUUACAUUGAUGCUUUCCAUUGCACCAAUCGAUGUUCCUCUCCAGGUUAUUUUGUUUCUUCAGUCAAAUUAUUGUCUGGUUAACAACUAAUGGAAAUGUAAGGACAGAAUAUUAACGUGAUAUGUUACAUAAUUUAUACUAUAAUAUUUUAUCAUUGUUAACGGCACAAUUUGAUAAAAAGAUAAAAAAGAAGUCAUUUUAUUAUAUUAUGUGUAAAAUACAUGAAAAAAAAAGAUUACAAAUUUUAUUUGAUUACAUUACUGCAGAACUUACAAAAAUAAUUAUAGAAGCAUGGCUAAUGAUUAUAGGUAUUAUUUGAAUAGAUAUUUUUCUCAUUUUUCUUGUUUGACUGGUUGCAACUUGUCUUCAAAUUUUGAUAUCCACCAAAAAACUAUCCAAGAGCUUGAUUGUUUUAGAUAGUCAUUCAACAGCUUGACUGACUUUAUAUUUGUCUGUGCAACAAAUUUGAAUUUUUUUUUUAAAAAAGUCAAUAUUGAAUUUUAGACAUGCAUAAAUAGCAUAAUUUUUUAUUAUGCAGUGAAAAUAUAUGUAUAAAGUAUGAGGAAAGAUCUACUUAUACCGGUAUAAAAUUAAAUUAGUUUUACACUUUUUCAUGUCUUUUUAUUUCAUUUAUAUUUUGUUAAUCUAACCGUUCAUUUUAUGUUAUAUUCAUAUAAAUAUUCAUAGAUAGCAAAUUUCAAGUUAAUUGGAAAUGACUAACUACAUAUUUGAGAAAAAUAAAAUUUCAAUCAUUAAAUAUAUAUUGAAAAAAGGCAUUAUUCUCGGUUGAUGUAAUAAGAAUGUUGAAUUAAUAUGAGACUUUACGUGUAUGAUAAAUGCGAAUAAGUUGUUAAAUGUAAUGAUUCUAUUUGUUAAAAUAUUAAUUCCCUAAGAAGUUAUAGAAAAAUGUAAAGUACUUAGUUUUAGAGAUACAAGGCGAUUCCUCUUGGCCGGUAUAAAGUAUUGCUAUUUAGGCUUUUGUGUGCAAUUUUUUUUCAUAGCUAAUUGUUGUUGAAAAUGUGCAAUCUUUACUACUGUAUGCAUGUAAUAUUUUUGUCCAAAAUAUUAGCAAAAAAAAUGUUUUGAACUGUGAACUCCGUAAAAGUUCUAUACAAAAGGAUUUUAAACAACACUAGUUAAAGAAAAUAAAUAAAUAAAUGCAAAUUUAAUUAUUAUAGUGUGUUUUUUCCACUUGUUCAAAGUAAGAUUUGAUUUCAAUUGCAGCCCUAGAUAUAAUCAGCAAAGCAAUGAAGAUAACAUUAUCCAAAGAUUUAAUGUUUCUCGUUAAACUUUUUUAUAUAUAAUUCUCCAAAGAAAAAUACAGUUUUAUACUUAAAAAAUAAAUGUAAAAUAUGAAAUUGAUCAAAUUUUUUCAGAAUUAUUAUUUUAUAUAUCUUGAAAUUUUGAAAUUCCAAAAUUUAUAAUAUUGUUUAAGUCAUAUUAUAUAUAUUAUUGAGGGUUUAUAGUAAUAUCCCUACUGUGUAGAUUUACUUGGAUGAAUUGCAAAGAUUUCUUUUCCAUCAGUUCCGCUACGUACCAAUUGGCUGGGUACACGGAUUUUCUUCUUUCUUGUUUGUUUGCGUGGAAAAUCAUCAAAGAGCUCUAUGACAGGCUUGUCGUUAAAAGUGUUUUGCUGGCUGGCUUUAAUUAGUUGACUGACUUUUCAAAAGAAGACUUGGUUUUAACAAUAAAUGUAAGCACUGCUUCGCUUGCCUGUAUCAAAACUAGAACCUUGAUCUCCCACUGAAACUUUGGGAUGCUUUACGUCAUACUUCCAUUACUUUGCCUUUUGGCUUUUGCUUCAUUUCUAUUCCCCGAUCCAGGCCGCGUUACAGAAAAAUACAAGCACUGUGGUUCUUCUUUAUGUGGAAACAUUAACAUCACUUACCCUUUGCGAUUAAAAACCCAGUCUCAUAGGUGUGGUUACAAGGAGCUUGAACUAGUGUGCCAGAAUAACCGUACUAUUUUCCCCAUGAAACAUGGGAAUUUCUAUGUCCAACACAUCUCUUAUAGUGACGAAACCAUUCAACUUUUAGACGAGAGUCUUGGCAACGAUAACUGCUCCAUUCCUCAUAGUUCCUAUCCUUGGUACACCCCUUUCUCGAAAAAAAUAUAUCUCUAUGGAACCACCUCUGAAUAUAGCAUCAUGUGUCUCGUCAAUUGCACGAUGCAAAUCAACUACUCUUCCGUUUAUAUCGAUGCUUUUCGUUGCACCAACAAUACCCCUUCCUCUCGACCUGCUUACUUUUACUUUUUGGAUGGAAAUACAACAGCGUCUGAUUUCGAUGAGUCAUGCAGAGUUGAAGCCCAGGUUCCAAUCAUGCUUGCCAACAUCACCGGCCGCUCUACUUUUGAUAUUUACACAAAGCUGUUAACGGGAUUCCAACUCUCAUGGUCAACUUCCUAUUAUGAUUAUGUUUGGCUGUCGUGGGACUCAAUCGUUAACGUGUGAGGAUUUUUAAGUAUUCCGCAAUAUUUGGUGUUGUUUAGUUUUUGAAAAAUAUUUGUUAUUACUAUUAUUUUUUGGAUCGUAAUAUUUAUUAUUUUUAGCAUAAAUAAAUAUGAUAAAUAAACAAAUAUCAAAAUAUUUAGUUUUGAAUUCUUUUAAAUUACUUUUUUAAUUAUGUGUAUAAAUUUGUAUCUAAAAUUUAAACUCGAUAUUUUAAUGUAAAAUUUAAAGAGAAGGAUUUAAAAAAUUUUCAACACUAAAAGUGCGCAUAUCAUUUGCCUUAUUAAGGAUUAAUGGUUUUGAUGUGCUUUUUUGAAUAUUAAUUAUAGAUUUCUAUCCUUGCUCGGCCUGUUGGUGCUUCCGCUGGAGAUACUUAUAGUAGGCAACAUAGCUUUUUUUGGACGAUAUCAUAUCAAUGGAUUUAGUAAAGGUAUUCUUUCGGUUCUGAGUUCAUUAAUAUUUUGAUUAUUAUUGGAUUUGCCUUUACUUUGAUAGUAUCUAUGUUCAUUUAUUUUCCGAAUUGGUAAUAUCUUUGCAGGAAUCCAGAUUCUUUGUGUUGCAAUAACAGGUACUAAAUUCUAUACUUAUUUAUUUACUCUUAAAUUCUACAAUUAUUAUAAUGUAUGACAUCAAUAAAUAUAUUAUUAUAUAAAUGAAUCAAAAAAUUAUUAAAUUAUUUAAAAAAUUCCUAAACUAUUUUAAAGAAAUUCAAAUAAGCUUUUCUUAAUUUUUAUUACAUUCAAUCAAGCUAUUAUAUUUUUAUUUUGAACCAAAUAAACCCUUCUAAAUAAUAGUUAACUAAUGUUAUUAGUUCAAAUGUCACUUAUUAUUUUAUACUUAUGUGACAUUGAUAUGAUGCUGACAAGGAGGAUGAAAAUACCACGUAACCAUGUCAUAAUGCCAUAUACUAUGACAUGUCAACAUAAUAUAUCAAUGUCUUGUGACUUAAAAUAACAAAUGGUAUUUUAAUUAAUAACAGUUAGUUAUCCAUUAGUUAUAAUAGCUUAUUUGAUUCAAAAUAAAUGUUUAAGAGCUUGAUCAUACACAAUAAAAGAAUAAGAGUUUAUUUAAAAUUUUCUAAAUAGCUCAGGAAAUUUUUUUAAGUAUUAUGCAUGUAUGUGUGUGUGUGUGUAUGUGUAUAUACCAGUGUGAAAUUAAUUAAAUUUACACCUUUUCAUAUUUUUUAUAAGAUUUCUAUUUUGUUAAUUUAACCGUUGUAUUCCAUAUGUACUCAAUUUACAUAGAUCAUGCAUAAAAAAUUUUAAAUCAAUUGAAAAUAUCUAAUUAUUUGUAUAAUAAUAAUAAAAUUUUAACCGUUAAAUAUAUAUUUAAAAAACAAUAUUCUCUACCAAUGUGAUAUGGAUAUGGCACUGACUUGAAACUUUAUAUGUACUAUUGGAUGCAAAUAAAGUUAGCUUGCUAAAACUUAAUUGUAUAUGAAAUUAUAAAAUGGUGUAUAUAUAUAUAUAUAUAUAUGAGUAUUGCAUAUAUGUAUAUGUAUGUAUAAAGAGAUUCAAUAAAGGAUUAAAUAAGAGAAGAUCUACUAUAAAUGAUUCGUAAAUAAUAUUGAACUACAUUAAUUAGGGUUUUUUAGUGAGGUAUUUUAAUGUUGUUACAAUGUUUUUUGGUCAAGAUAAAAAUUAUGUCCAAAUUUAGCAUUUUACUUUAGACCAAAUUAUGAUCAUAUUUAAAUGAGAAUAAUUGGCACUUUACUUUUAAAUUGAUUAAAAAUGAUCAAAAGUUAUGAAAUAAACUAAAAAGUACACUCAUUCAAAAAAGAAUAGUAAAUUUAAUCCAUCAUUUUUUUAAAAGGUGAAUUUUUAUUAACCUCAACACUAUCAUGCCAUUUUGAGUCUCAAACAUAGAUUGCAAGAGACUCUCACGGCAUAAAUAGUUAGUGAGCAGCCUGUACAAUUUCCAAAAAGAAUAUGCUACUCAACAAGAUUUUGGUAGCAACUCAGGAUAAAGAAACUAACGUACCUUAAGUAGAUUGGUAAAUUUGAACCUAAUCUCAAAUUAUUCUAUGAAGUUUGUUUGUGAAAAUAUGGCAGCUAGCACAUACCCAAAUUAAAGUUGUAAAUAACAUAUACAUGUUCUAUAAUCAUGUUUUCCAACUAAUUGAUUUACAUAUUGUUUUGUAACUUUUUUUUUUGAAACAGGAAUUCUUUUACUAAGAACUUUUUUGGGAAUAAUUUGCUUGAUUGUGUUGGUUAGACAAAAAUUGAAAAGGAGGCAUUUGUCUGUGGAUGACGAUAUUGAGAAUUUUCUUCAGAGUCAAAACAAUUUAAUGCCUAUCAGAUAUUCUUACUCUGAAAUAAAAAGAAUGACUGAUGGCUUCAAGAAUAAACUAGGUCAAGGAGGAUAUGGUUCUGUGUUUAAAGGAAAACUUCGAAGUGGUCAACUUGUUGCGAUAAAAUUGUUAAACAACUCAAAAGCUAACGGCCAAGAUUUCAUCAAUGAAGUUGCAACUAUUGGAAGGAUUCAUCAUGUUAAUGUGGUAAGACUUAUUGGAUUUUGCGUGAAGGGAUCAAAACAAGCUCUUGUAUAUGACUUCAUGAAGAAUGGGUCCUUGGAUAAAAUUAUAUUUUCAGCUGAAAAUAACACUUUGAGUUGGCAAAAAAUGUUUGAGAUUGCUUUGGGAGUGGCUCGAGGUAUUGAAUAUUUGCAUAGAGGUUGUGAAAUGCAAAUUUUACAUUUUGAUAUCAAGCCACAUAACAUUCUUCUAGAUGAGAACUUUACUCCAAAAGUUUCAGAUUUUGGCCUCGCAAAGUUGUAUUCAGUGGAUAAUGAUAUUAUUUCUCUCACAGCAGCACGAGGUACAGUAGGAUAUAUGGCUCCUGAAUUGUUUUAUAAAAAUCUCGGAGGUAUCUCAUAUAAAGCCGAUGUUUAUAGUUUUGGAAUGAUGCUAAUGGAAAUUACUGGAAGAAGAAAAAAAUUUGAAUGCCUCUGCUGAACAAUCAAGUCAAAUUUAUUUUCCAUCAUGGAUUUAUGAUCGAUUAGAUGAAGGAGAUAUCAUGGAGCUUGGAGAUUUGACAGAAAAUGAAAACAAAAUUAUGAGGAAAAUGGUAAUAGUAGCCUUAUGGUGCAUACAGAUGAAGCCCACUGAUCGUCCUUCCAUGAGCAAAGUCUUGAAUAUGCUUGAAAGUGAAGUUGAGCUCCUUGAAAUGCCUCCCAAGCCUUCUUUCUCUGGAAAUGUCAACUAAAUAUAGUAAGAAUUCUCCCCGCACACGUGGCAAUCGGCCUUCCUCAGUUAUCUCGUGAUAUUUGUCAUUGGGACACCACUCAACAUUGUGAUCUUGCUAAAUCUGACAACUUCUUCUGUAUUUAGUUUUUUGAAUGGUACGUAGUUUUUGUUUCCACCUAGAUCUAGUAGGCAGUGUUUGUAUUUUCUCUACUACCUUGGUUUGUUUUGUUUCUGCUACUUCUCUAUUGCCCUGUAUGUGACCUCUGAUGGAAUAAAUCAUUUCCUCACUUGUAAAAAAAUUGCAAGAAAAUGUAAUUUUAUUUUUCCCUUAUUUUAUACUGUCAUCCCAAACUCGCAGCACAACAGACGCCACAUACCUGUAAGAUGUAAUCUUACAAACAUGCAAGGGUCCAAUACAUAUACCUUAAAACACUAACUGAAAGACACUAAAAUACCUGAAGAACAAAGUGAUUCAUAAUCGGUAGAAAUUCAAAAAUCAUAAUUCGACAAUAUUCAGAAUUAAGUCUCUAAAACUAUAAAGUUAACAUGUCAAGAUAAAACUCUGAAUACUAAUUUAAGAUAGUUUGAUGUUCAUAAUAUUUAAAUAAAUCCUAGACAACCUAAAUGCUAUUAGAUUAAAACAUCACUCCUUGAAAUUCUCACGUAGUUGACCAAAUCACAACCUAAAAAAAAAAUUGAAAGAAUGAGUGAGUCCAACUACUCGGUAAGUAACAAAUAUCUCACUUCGUACUACAAAAGCCCUCAAAUAUAUGACCAAAAAUGUUAUCGGAAUAUGGAGUUCCAAUGACCCAAAUUUGGAUUGUCAAAACAGUUGAAAACCAAGUUUCUAAUUAAUUUUAAAAAUUCAUAUUUUCUAAACCACAAAACUAAACUAGAUGCUACAAAAACCAUUGGAAAGAUCUUUUCAAGACCUUUCCAUUGGUAACCAUCAUGCCACCGAAAGGUCACCAGAAUAGUGCCGAAUUUGAAUAAAAGUUAAGAAAACAUAAAUAAUUUAGGGCUUUUGUGCCCAACUAUGGAAAUACAACCCUAAACAUACCUUAAUCAGAAAUCCCUUGAAUACUUUUCUCUUUUUUCUAUCUUUCUUCUUCUAUGGUGUUAAGCUUUUCUGACUACCUAUCGUUUGAGUCUGAUGAAAUAAACUGACAUGAGUUUUCUACCUUUUCUUUUAAACUUGUAAACUAACCUAACCUCCACUAUUUUUUUUUUAAACGUGGUUUAGUGAGUUGUGAUCAGGUAAAACAAAUUGACCUUAACCGCACUAACUUAAACAUGAUAAACAAAACUGACAUUAAUUAAACUUCUUUAUUUACUUAAAGACCCCUUUUUCUAUUUUUUAAUUAUUAAGACACUCAAGGUUGUAACUGUAAUUAAAUAAAAUACUAAAACAACAUUUAUUUAUUUAUUUUAUAAAACUAUAGCCUAAUAAAUCUAAAUGUUUUUAUAAUAUAUACUUUGUGAGGGGUAUUACAUCCUUCCCUCCUUAAAAAGGAGUUUAGUUCCUUAAACUCUUACCUUGGUCCUCAAAAAGGCAGGGAUACUUCUUUUUUAUAUUUUUUCUAAAUCCCAAGUCGCUCCUCAUUCUGUAUGAUUACUUCAUUAGAUCUUAACAUAAGGAAUAGUUCGCCUUCUUAGAACUUGCUUCUUUCUAUCCACAACACACAUAGGAUGCUCAUCAUAAGACAAAUCUUCUCUAAGUAUCAAAGGAGCUAACCACACCACAUGACUAGGAUCUGGAACAUAUUUUCUCAACAAAGAAACAUGAAACAUGUUAUGCGCUCUCGAUAAAGCAGGUGGAAGUGCCAACCUAUAAGCCACAUCACCAACCUUAUCCAAAAUCUCAAACGAACCCAUAUAACAAGAACUAAGUUUUCCUCGAAUCCUAAAUUGCAUUACUCCUCUAGUAGGUGAAACUAGCAAAAAGACAUGAUCUCCAACCUCAAAUUCUAUCUUCCUUGUUUUAUUGUUUGCAUAACUCUUCUAUCUACUUUGAGCCGUACGAAGAUGUUCUCUAACUAACUGAACCUUCUCAACUGCUUGUUGAAUAAGAUCUAGACCCAAUAAUUGUCUUUCACCCACAUCAUCCCAACAAAGAGGUGACCUGCACUUCUUACCAUACAAAGCUUUGAAUGAAGCCAUUUGAAUACUAGACUGAUAGCUAUUAUUAUAAGCAAAUUCCGUCCAUGACAAGUGUCGAUCCCAAAAACCUCCAAAAUCCAUGACACAAGCUCUCAACAUGUCCUUAAGAAUUUGAUUAAUUGUCUCGGACUGACCAUCUGUUUGAACAUGAAAAGUAGUACUAAAAUUAAGUCUAGUACCCAAAGAUUUAUGUAGACUCUCUCAAAAUUUCACCACAAAUCGAGAAUCUUGAUCAUAUACAAUGGACACUAGCACCCCAUGCAGUCUCACAAUCUGCUCCACAUAUAACUCCACUAACUUUUCCAAUGACAUUUCCGUACGAAUAGCCAAGAAGUGAGCAGACUUUGUUAAUCUAUCAACAAUCACCUAGAUGCCAUCAUUACCUUUUAGUGUUCUCGGCAACCAGAUAUAAAGUCCAUAGUAAUUCGUUCCCAUUUCCAUUCUAGAAUAAGAAAUGGUUGCAAUAACUCUACUGGCCUCUGAUGUUCAACCUUAAUUUGUUGACAUGUUAAACAUUUGGCUAAAAACUGUGCAAUCUCUCUCUUCAUAUUGUUCCACCAAAAAGUGUUCUUCAAAUCUCGAUACAUCUUGGUACCACCAAGAUGGAUUGUAUAAUUACUAUAAUGAGCUUUCAACAAAAUUUCUCUCUUCAAUUUUGCAUCAUUGGGAACACAAAUUCUAUCACCAAACCUCAAAGAGUCAUCAUCAUGAAUCCUAAAGUCUGGUUUCAAACCAGAAUUAACCCUAAGUUUAAUGUGCUGAAGUCGAAGAUCAUCUACUUGGGCUGUCUUAAUCCGGUGAAUUAAAGUUGGUUGUACUCAUAUGUUAGCCAAUAAUGCUCCAAAACCCUGUAUACAUACACCAAUAUCCAUCCUCCGUAAGUCCUCCAAUAUCUGUUUUUGGGAAGUAAUCAUUGUGGCCAUGUUCCCAAACGUCUUUCUACUUAGAGCAUCAGCAACUCUAUUUGCCUUACUUGGGUGAUAAUUGAUGGUCAAGUCAUAAUCCUUCAACAAUUCUAACCAUCUUCUUUGUCACAUAUUCAACUCCUUCUGCGUGAUAAGAUACUUUAAACUUUUAUUAUCUGUAAAGACCUCACAAGACUCACCAUUCAAAUAAUGUCUCCAAAUCUUUAAUGCGAAACCACUACUGCCAACUUUAAAUCAUGAGUAAGAUAAUUCUCAUCAUAAGGUUUCAAUUGCUUAGAAGCAUAAGCGAUCACCUUAUCAUCCUGCAUAAGAACACACCCAAGUCCCUUUUUGGAAUCAUCACUAUAAACAACAAAUCCCUUACCACUAAUAGGCCUGGUAUGCAUAGGAGCGAAUACUAAUCUUUUCUUUAUCUCCUCAAAGCUCUUUUCAUAAUCAUUUGUCCACUCAAAACAAAUCCCUUUCCAUAUCAAUUUGGUUAAAAGUAAGGCAAUACAAGAAAAAUCCUCUACAAAUUACCUACAGCAUCCUACUAAACCCAGAAAACUGUUAAUCUCAAAAACAUUAUGUGGUCUCUUUCAAUUCACCACUAUUUCAACUUUCUUUGAAUCCACUGAAAUCCCGUCUUUCAACACCACAUGCCCAAGGAAAGCAACACUAAAAAGUCAAAAUUCACAUUUCUUCAAUUUAGCAAAUAACUAUUUCUGCCUCAAAGUCUUCAAAACAACCCUUAGAUGCUCUUUAUGAUCUGCUGAGCUAGGGGAAUACACUAGAAUAUCAUCAAUAAAAAUAACCACAAAUUUAUCCAAAUAAGGUUUAAAAACCCUAUUCAUCAAGUCCAAAAAAGUAACUAGAGCAUUUGUCAACCCAAAAGGCAUAAUAAGGAACUCAUAAUGCCCAUAUCAGGUACGAAAAGUAGUUUUGGGAACAUCCUCAAUUCUCACCUUCAACUGGUGAUAACCAGAUAAAAGAUUAAUUUUGGAAAACACUUAAGUGCCCUUUAGUUGAUCAAAUAAAUCAUAUAUCCCAGGCAAAAGAUACCUAUUAUUCACGGUUGCCUUAUUUAACUCCCGAUAAUCAAAACACAACCUCAUACUCCCAUUUUUUUUCUUCACAAAUAACACUGGCGCUCCCCAAGGAGAUAUACUACAUCUAAUAAAGCCCUUAUCAAGAAGUUCUUGCAACUGCUCUUUCAACUCUUUUAAUUCUAUAAGAGCCAUUUUAUAAGGAGCUUUAGAAAUAAGGUCAGUUUUUGGAACCAAAUCAAUAGAGAAAUCAAUUUCUCUAUUAGGAGGUAAACUAAGUAGAUCUUUAGGAAAAAAUUAGGAAAUUCCCCCAUAAUAAGAACAUCUUCAAUCAUUAACUCCUUCAUUCUAGUGUCUAUAACAGUUGCCAAAAAUCUUUUGUAACCACUAGUAAGCAAUCACCUAGCUUUCAAAGCAAAGAUGACUCGCAAAGGAGUGUAAGAACCACUACCACGAAAAGAAAAAGGUGUUUCCCCGGGAAUCUGAAAGUCUACCCUUUUCCCUCGAUAAUCAACUUUAGCAAAAUUUGCAACUAACCAAUCCAUCCCCAGAAUUAUAUCAAAAUCUUACAUAUCUAAAACAUGAAGAUCUGUAAGCAAUUCUCUAUCUUCAAUCCUUACCACACACAUCUUAUAAAUCUGAUCAGAGAUAAUAUCACCUCUAACUAGAGUGUCUACGCAUAGUUCAUAAUCUAGAAGCAUACAAGGCAAAGCAAACUUUCGAAAAAAUGUAGCAAAUACAAAAGAACGAGAUGCAUUGGUAUCAAACAAUACAUGAGUAAAAGCUGAGGCAACUAGCAGUGUACUUGAGACAACGGUGUUGGAUGCCUCUACAUCCGAUUGAGUGAUAGCAUAAGCACGCCCCUGGGUGCAAGGUCUUCCCACUUUUUGAUGUUCAAAAGAAGGUGUUUGCGUAGUCUAAACAACAUGAGUGGGUUGAGUCCUUUGCGUUGCAGUUUCAAAAGUUCGAGAGUUUUGCGACCUCUGCACAGAUUGAGAUUCUUGAAGGACUAAAGGACAAUUAGCAAUACGAUGGCCCUAUUGUCUACAUUCAGCAGCUCGAUGUCCUCCACCACACACUGAACACCUAGGCUUUUGUGCCCAAACUAUGAAAAUACAACCCUAAACAUAACUUAAUCAGCAAUCCCUUGAAUAUUUUUCCCUUUUUUCUGUCUUUCUUCUUCCUUGGUGUUAAGCUCUUCUGACUGCCUAUCGUUUGAGUAUGAUGAAAUAAACUUGUAAACUAACCUAACUUUCACUAUUUUUUUUUAAACAUGAUUUAGUGAGUUGUUGUCAGGUAAGAUAUACUAACCUUAACCCCACUAACUUAAAUGUGAUAAAUAAAACUGACAUUAAUUAAACUUUUUUAUUUACUUAAAGACCCCUUCUUCUCUUUUUUAAUUAUUAAGGCACCAAAAGUUAAAACUGCAAUUAAAUAAAAUACUAAAAGAACAUCUACUUAUUCAAAAAUGAAUAGUAAAUUUGAUCCAUCAUGUUAAGUAGAUUGGUGGUAAAUUUGAACCUUUUCUCAAACUAUUCUAUGGAGUUUGUUUGUGAAAAUAUGGCAGCACAUGCCCAAAUUAAAUUAGUAAACAACAUACACAUAUUCUAUAAUCAUGUUUUUCAUCUUUGGGUUGGCAAAGAAUGUUUGAGAUUGCAUUGGGAGUGGUUCGAGGUAUUGAAUAUUUACACAGAGGUUGUGAAAUGCAAAUUUUACAUUUUGAUAUCAAGCCACAUAACAUUCUUCUAGAUGAGAACUUCAUCCCGAAAGUUUCAGAUUUUGGCCUUGCAAAGUUGUAUUCAAUGGAUGACAGUAUUGUCUCUCUUACAGCUGCAAGAGGUACAUUAGGAUAUAUGGCUCCUGAAUUGUUCUAUAAAAAUAUUGGAAGCAUUUCAUAUAAUGUUUAUAGUUUUGGAAUGAUGUUAAUGGAAAUUGUCGGAAGGAGAAAAAAUGUGAAUGUCUCUGCUGAACAUUCAUGUCAAAUUUAUUUUCCAUUUUGAAUUUAUGAUCGACUUGAGGAAGGAGAUAUCAUAGAACUUGGAGAUGUAACGGAAAAUGAAAACAAAAUUAUGAGGAAAAUGGUAAUAGUAGCCUUUUGGUGCAUACAGAUGAAGCCCACAGAUCGUCCUUCAAUAAGCAAAGUCUUGGAGAUGCUUGAAAGUGAAGUUGAGCUCCUUGAAAUGCCUCCCAAGCCUGCUUUCUCUGAAAGGUCAACCAAACCAUUAGUUGUAUUAUAAGUAAUAUUUAAUGUUGUACGUUAAGCAAUGUUUCACUACUUUAUCAUACUACUUUUAUAAUUUUUAUAGUAGAAACCUUAAGCUUGAGGCAUAAUCUUCUCUCUUCCAAAAAAAACCAAAAAAAAAAAACAAUAUAGAAUGGUGAGGAAGAAAGUAUAGCAAGGAAAAGAAGGAUACUGAGUUGGAGUUUUGAGCGUGCGAAGGUGUUAUUUUAGAAGAGUUGUAAUGGUAUCUCGUAAGUAUUUUGUCUAUAUAAAAAGUCUUUUGCUCAUAUAAAGAAUAAAGACUUUAAAUAGCAUUAUCGAUAUAUUAUUGCAAAUAAUUAACUUACGUUUUAAAAAAAUUAAAAAUAUUCCUCAACCAUGCUUGGAAUUAUAAUUUUUAUUUAAAAAAAUAAAUUAUUUGAGUUUUAUUUUAAAAAAAUAAAUUAUUUGAGUUUUCUCUCUUAAUUAAAAAGUCAAAUUUUAUCCAAUUCAAAAAUUUAUUUAAAAUGAUUUGAAAUCAAAUUCAACUUAAUUCAAAUUAAAUGACAAAAAUUAAAAAUUUCAAUAUGAAAAUACGUGAAUUUAAAAUGAUAUUAAUUUAAUCCGACACAAUUCAAUGUUAACAUGACUCGAAUCUAAAACGAACCGAGCUCAUAAUGAUCAAAAAUCCAAGAUUUAUUGGAUCCAAAACUUACAAAAACUUAAAUUUAUAACUCCCAAAAAUCCAAAUUAUAAUUAAAUAAUUUUAUUUAAUAAUUAAAUAAGUAAAUGAUUAAUUUUUAAGUGAAAAUUUUAAGACACACAAGCACCUUUUUCUCGUCAAUGCUUCUUCGUUACUCAGAAACAGCUCAUAAGAAUGGCAUGGUCAACUACUCUGCUUCACCUUCACUUCAAAUCCCCUCCGGUUUCUUCUCACCAAUUCCCACAUUCCCCCCCAAAAAUCCCCGAUCUUCCUAAACCCUAACCCUAUAAUUCCCAAACCCAAACCCCCCAAAAUGCAAUUCCUUCACAGGCCCAACGCGUUUCCAGGCCACGGCGCAGUAUCAAGAGCCAUGGACAUCAUCCAAUCCUCACCGCCCACGUGGGAAUCGGCCUUCCUUACCAACAUCCUGAUCUUCGUCGUCGGGACUGCACUUUUAGUAGCGGGGCUUUCUCUCUCCGAAAUUUUCGCUUCCUUCUUGCUUGGCACUCUCACUUGGCGAGCUUUCGGGUCUUCUGGAUUCCUCCUCAUUGCUUCUUACUUCGUUAUAGUGAGUCACUAAAAAGUCUAUGAAUUUUAUUUGAAUUAUGGGAUUUACGUUAAAAUUGGAAAUGGGUUCUGAUUUUCGCUCCCAUUUGGUAUAAAGUUUAUGCUCUGGAUGACAAGUUUCAUUGUUUGGUAUUUUGGCAAAGGAAAAAAAAUUUAGUUUAUGUCAAAAAGAUUUAACGUGAAGUAUUUAGUUAUUUAAGUGUGAUUUGUUUUUAUUUCAAGAAUUGGAUUACACUAGGUGAAAACAGGUCAAAACUAUAACCAAAACAUUUUUCCAAAAUUCUUUUUUAUUUUCAUUUGUUUUCUUCUUGGUGGGGGCAGGUGAAGGGAGAUUUUAUUUGCUUUUGACAUGUUUCUUAAGUAUAAAGUUGAAGUAGAAGAUAAACUGAAUAAAAAAAUAAAAAAAGUUAAAUUAGAUAGAGAGGGUGAAUAUUUACCUAUUAAUGAUAUUUGUGAAAAGAAAGAAAUAAUUUAUAAAAUUACUCUCUCAUAUUCUACUGAAUCAAAUAGUGUAGUUGAAAGGAAAACUAAAACAUUAAAAGAAAUGAUGAAUUAUAUGCUUAUUAGUUCUAAUGCACAUGAAAAUUUGUAGGGUGAAGUUAUAUUAUUUGCAUGUCAUAUUCAAAAUAGAAUUCACUGCAAGAAAACUGAUAAGACACCUUAUGAAUUGUGAAAAGUCUAUUCUUCUAACUUAAAAUAUUUAAAAGUAUGAGAGUGUUUAGCUAAUGUUAUGCUUCUUGAUUUUAAGAAAAGAAAAAUUGACUCUAAGAUGUCCGGUUGCAUGUUUAUUGGCUAUACCAAAUAUAGUGCUGCAUAUAAAUUUCUUGUACUAAAAAAUGAUGUUUUUGAUAAUAAUACAAUUAUUAAAACAAAAAAUGUUGAAUUUUUUUGACAUAUUUUUCUAUUGAGAACUGAUACAAUUUUUCUUCCAUCUUUUAGUGAAAAUGUUUUUUUAAAUGCAAAAUGAUGAUUUGAGAAGAAGUAAAAGACAAAAGAAAGAAAUUUCUUUUUGUAAUGAUUUUUACACUUAUCUUGUAGAUAAUGAUCUUUUAAAUUAUGCUAAUUCAAUUUCUUCUAAAGAAUGUCCAUUUUGAAAAGACGUUAUACAAAAUGAGAUUGAUUCUAUUUUACAAAAUCAAACCCGGGAAUUAAUUUAUUUACCACCUGAAGCUAAGCCAAUUGGUUGUAAAUGGAAUUUUUAAAAAAAAUUUAAUCUUGAUUAUUUUAUUGAUAAAUACAAAAUUAAAUUAGUUGCUAAGGGUUUUACCAAAAAAUAAAAUAUUGAGUAUUUUGAUACUUUUGCUCUAGUAACAAGAAUUUCAUCUAUUUGUAUUUUAAUUGCCUUAGCUUCGAUUUACAAACUUUUUGUUCAUCAAAUGAAUGUUAAAACAGUUUUUUUAAAUGAUGAUUUAGAAGAAGAAAUUUAUAUGACACAACUCGAGGGAUGUGUACUUCUUGGUCAAGAAAACAAAAUUUGUAAAUUAAUUAAAUCUCUAUAUACUUAAAACAAGCACCAAAAUAAUGGUAUGAGAAAUUUGAUUAAAUUCUUGUUAAUAAUAGAUUUUUUACUAUUGGAGUUGAUAAAUGUGUGUACACAAAAACUAUUGAUAACGAAUAUAUGAUUAUUAGCUUAUAUGUUGAUGAUAUGUUUAUUUGUGGUACAUGCAUUGAUGUGGUAAAUAAAACAAUAUGUUUCUUAACUUAUAAAUUUGAUAUGAAAGAUUUGGGAGAAACCAAUAUUAUUUUGGGUGUUAAAGUCAUAAGAUGUGAGAGUGGCCUAAUGUUAACACAAAAACAUUAUAUUGAGAGGUUACUUAAAAAGUUUAGACAUUUUAAUGUCACACUUGUGAAUACUCCUUAUAAUGUUAAUACCCAAUUAAAGAAAAAUAGAGAUGAUAGUAUGGCUCAACCUUAGUAUGCAUAGAUUUUUAAAAGUUUGAUGCAUUUGAUGAAUUAUACUUGACUUGGUAUAGCUUAUGUUAUGUGUAGACUGAGUAAAUAUACAUAAAGUCUCAAUCAAGAUCAUUGAACUGUUUUGAAUAGAGUAAUGAAAUAUUUGAAAUGUACCAUAAACUAUGAUAUUUUAUAUAAUAGAUUUUCCGUUGCAUUAGAAAGGUACAAUAAUGUUAACUUAAUCUCAUAUUCAGAUGAGACAAAAUUCAUGAGUGAUUAUGUAUUCACCAUUGGUGUGGAUGCUGUUACUUAGAAAUUAGUCAAAUAAAUAAUAAUUACUAAAUCUACAGUGGAAUCAGAAUUUAUAGUUUUAGAAUUAACUAGUAAUGAGGUUGAAUAGUUAAGAAACCUCUUAACAGAUAUUUCAUUAGAAAUGAAACCAACACCUUCUGCGUCUAUGUAUUGUGAUUGUCUAACGGCAAUAAACAUUGUGAAGAAUAAAACUUUCAAUGGUAAGAAUAGACACAUUUGUUUAAGAUAUGAUGUGGUAAAAUAAUUACUUAGAGAUGAAAUUAAUGUCCAUUAAUUAUACGAAGUCAUAUACCAAAAAAUAUAAAUUAUGAAACCGAUGAAUCCUUUUAGAACUAUUAUUUUGCAUUUCAAUAAGUCCAUGGUGGAAUUUUAAGACUGCACAAAUGAAUUCAUAGGAUUGUUUAAGUGAUUUUAUUUAUAUGUUAUUGCAGACAGAUUACAAAAAUUCCUUUCCUGUUAGUUUCGUUAUCAAUCAGUUCAUACGUUAUUUUCUUCAUUAAUUCUUGUUUGAGUGGAAAAUCAUCUCAGAGCUAUGAUUGGCUUGUGUUGAAGUUGUUGGAUUGAAUUAAUUAGUUGACUGGACUGACUUUUCAAACGAAGACGAGUGAGGGAGAAAGACCGCACCAUUAAAAGUUGACUGACUUUUCAGUUACCGCAUGAAACCGUACAACUCUCAGACGUGAGUCUGAAAAAUGUGCAAUUUUGCUAAUAUAUGCAUGUGAUAUUUUUGUCCAAAAUAUUAUCAAAACAAAUUGUAUAGAACUGUGAAAUCCGUAAAAGUUGUUUGCAAAAAGGUUUUUAACAGCACAAGUUAAAGAAAAAAGGUCAAAGGAAGAUUUGAUUUCAAUUACAGCCACAGAAAUAAUUAACAAAGCAAUAAAGAUAACAUUAUCCUAACUCUUAUUUAAUCUCUCUCGUUAAACUUUGUUAUACUUAAUUCUCCUAAAAAAAACUUUUUUAUACUUACAAAAAAUAAAUAUAAGAUAUGGAGAUUGAUCAAUUUUAUUUAGAAUUAUUAUUUUAUAUAUUUGCAAUGAAAUUUUGAAAUUCCAAAUUUCAUAACAUUAUUUAAGUCAUAUUAUAUAUCUACAUAUAUAUAUAUUAUGUUAAGGGGUAUAUUGAUCUCACUAAUGUGCAGAUAUACUUGGAUGAAUUACCCAUGAGUGCUAUGGUAGGCUUUGUGUUAAAUGUGUUUUCUGGUUUGGGUUUAAUUAGUUGUCUGACUUUUCAAAAGAAGACUUGGUUUUAACAAUAAAUAUAAGAGAACAUCAUAGUGCUUCUUCACAAACUAAUUAAGCCCUUAAUCUCCUUCUCUCCCACUGAAAUUUUAGGAUGCUAAGAGCAAAGCUUCCAUUAUUCGGCCUUCUGGCCCUUGCUUUAUCUCUAUUCCCUGAUGCAUGCAUCGCUAGAGGCAAACACAAGCACUGUGGCUCUUCUUUCUGUGGAAACAUUAAUAUCACUUCCCCUUUUCGAUUAAAAAGUCAGCCUCGAAGUUGUGGUUACAAUCGUUAUGAACUAGUAUGCGAGAAUAACCGCACCAUUUUCCCCAUGAAACAUGGGAAUUUCUAUGUCCAACACAUCUCUUAUAGUGACGAAACCAUUCAACUGUUAGACGUGAGUCUUGACAAGGAUAACUUUUUUAUACAAUGAAUUUAUAAGAUUGCUUGAAUGAUUUUAUUCCUAUUUGAGUGGAAAAUCAGCUAAGAGCUAUGAUUGGCUUGUGUUAAAGUGGUUGGCUUUAAUUUGUUGACCUGACUGACUUUUCGAACGAAGACAAGUGAGCAAGAAUAACCACACAUUUUCCCCAUGAAAUAUGAGAAUUUCCAUGUGGAAAAAGCCAUAUAAGUCUUAGAGGUGAGUCUUACCAAGCCACUCGGUAGGAGAUAGGGUAUACAUCUCCCUCAUCAUAAGUAUCCAUGCACGUCAAUAUAGGGUCAUGUGUAUCUCUUAAAUUGCAGGAUGAAGAUGAAUUCUUCGGUUUACAUUGAUGCUUUCCAUUGCACCAAUCGAUGUUCCUCUCCACGCUAUUUUGUUUCUUCAGUCAAAUUAUUGUCUGGUUAACAACUAAUGGAAAUGUAAGGACGGAAUAUUCACGUGAUAUGUUGCAUAAUUUAUACUAUAAUAUUUUAUCAUUGUUAACGGCACAAUUUGAUAAAAAGAUCAAAAUGAAAUCAUUGUAUUAUAUUUUGUGUAAAAUGCAUAAAAAAAAAGAAUUCUAAAUUUNNNNNNNNNNNNNNNNNNNNNNNNNNNNNNNNNNNNNNNNNNNNNNNNNNNNNNNNNNNNNNNNNNNNNNNNNNNNNNNNNNNNNNNNNNNNNNNNNNNNNNNNNNNNNNNNNNNNNNNNNNNNNNNNNNNNNNNNNNNNNNNNNNNNNNNNNNNNNNNNNNNNNNNNNNNNNNNNNNNNNNNNNNNUCUAUACUUAACAAAAGAUAAAUGUAAAAUAUAAAAUUGAUCAAUUUUGUUUAGAAUUAUUAUUUUAUAUAUUUUGAAAUUUUGAAAUUUCAAAAUAUAUAAUAUUAUUUAAGUCGUAUUAUAUAUUAUAUUAUUGAAGGCUUAUAUUAAUCUCCCUACUGUGCAGAUAUACUUGGAUGAAUUAUAAAGAUGUCUUUUCUAUCAGUUUCGCUACGUACCAAUUGGUUGGACACAUAUUUUAUUCUUUCUUAUUUGUUUGUGUUAAAAGUGUUUUGCGGUUUGGGUUUAAUUAGUUGACUGACUUUUCAGAAGAAGACUUGGUUUUAAUAAUAAAUAUAAGAGAACAUCACAGUACUUCUUCACAAACUAAUUAAGCCCUUAAUCUCCUCUCCCGCUGAAAUUUUAGGAUGCUAAGAGCAAAACUUCCAUUAUUUUGCCCCUUGGCUUUUGCUUUAUCUCUAUUCCCCGAUGCAUGCAUGGCUAGGGGCAAAAACAAGGACUGUGGCUCUUCUUUCUGUGGAGAAGUUACCAUCAAAAAGCCCUUUCAGUUAAAAAGCCAACCUCUCAGGUGUGGAAACCGUGGGCUUGAAGUCGAGUGUGACGACAAUAACCGCACCACUUUCCCCAUGAAAUAUGGGAAAUUCCUUGUCCAAGACAUCUCUUAUAAUAACGGCACAAUUCAUAUUAUAUUAUAUUUUUAUGUAUGUUUGUAUCUAUAGUAUUAGUUGUUUAAACUUUUUGGGUGCAAUUCUUUUUCAUAUAUAAUUAACAGCUUUUAUAAAACAGCAGUCUUUGUCACUAUAUAUGCUUGUAAAUCUCUCUUUAACUGCAAUUUUUUUGUCCAAAAUACUUCUAAUAAAAGAUUGUAUAGAGCAGCCAAAUUUGUAAAGUUCUAUCCUAAUUAAAACACUUUCAAUAACAUCUUAAAAAAAUUAAAUGCCAAAGUUAUUGUAGUGUGUUUUUCCCCUUUGGCUCUAGACUCUAGUUUAUUAAAUUUUCAAAGGAAGAUUUGCUUUCAUUUGCAGCCACAGAAUGAUAAGCAGAGCUACCAAGAUAAGAUUAUCUUAGUUCUUAUUUAAUCUUUCUUUUCAAACUUUUUUAUGCAUAUAAAAAAAUGUGAAAUAUGGACGGAUUAGUUCUUUUAGACUUAAUAGGUUGAUGGUGAAAUUUUAAGACUACACAACAUAUUUAUAGGAUUGUUUUUUAUUUAUAUUUUAUUGGGGGUUAAUAUUAGUCUCCCAACUUAGACGAAUAACAAAAAUUCCUUUGCUAUCAAUUUCGUUAUCAAUCAGUUGCAUACGUUAUUUUCUUCACUUAAUUUCUAUGUGGAAAAAGCCAUAUAAGUCUUAGAGGUGAGUCUUGACAAGGAUAACUGCUCCAUUCCUUAUAGUUCCUAUCCUUGCUACAGCCCUUGUGGAAAAAGCCUAUCACUUGGUAGAAGAUAUGGUAUACAUCUCCCUCGUCAUAUGUAUACAUGCACCUCAAUAUAGGGUCAUCUAUCUCUUAAAUUGCAGGAUGAAGAUGAACAUUUGGUUUACAUCGAUGCUUCUCAUUCCACCAAUCGGUGUUCCUCUACAUCUUCUUUUGUUUCUUCGGUAUUUUACAUUGUUAAUGGGACAAUUUGAUAAAAAGAUCAAAAUAAAAUUGUUUCAAAAUAUUAUACACAUGAAAAAAUAUUACGAAUUUAAUUUGAUUACUUUAUUGCGAAAGUUGCAAAAAUAAUUGUAGAAGCAUGUAUAAUGAUUAUGGGCAUUAUUUGAAUAGAUAUUUUUCUCCUUUUUCGCGUCCGACUGAUCGUAACUUAUCUUCAAAUUCAAAUAAAAAAGAAAAAAAAUUCAAGACUGAGAGUAUUUUAGAUAGUCAUUCAAGAGCUUGACUGAUUUCAUAUUGGUCUGUGCAACAAAUUUGCAAAUUUUUUAAAAGACAACUUUGAACUUUAGACAUGCAUAAUUUUUUUAAUACACAGGGAAAAUGUAUAUAUAAAGUACAAGGAAAGAUAUAUCUAUAUAAAUUAAAUUAAUUUUACACACCCUUUUAUAUUUUUUUAUACAAUUUAUAUUUUGUUAAUCCAAUCAUUGAUUUCAAAUUAUAUUCACAUAAAUCAUGCAUAACAGAUUUCAAAUUAAUUAAAACUGAUUAACUAUUUAUUUGAUAAAAAUAAAAUUUCAAUUGUUAAAUAUAUUGAAAAAAUAAACAUUUUACCAAAUUGACUUUGAAAUUACAUGAUAAGUACAAGUUGUUAAAUCUAACAAUAAAAUAUUAAUUUUUAAAGAAAUUAUAAAAAAUGUAAAACUAAUUAGUUUUACGCAAAAAAAUUAAUUUAUUGUUAUUUAGGCUUUUGUGUGCAAUUUUUUCAUAUUUAACAGUAGUUGAAAAUAUGCGGUCUUUACUAAUAUAUGCAUGUGAUAUUUUUGUCCAAAAAUUACCAAAAACAUAUAGAACUGCGAAAUCCGUAAUGUUGUAUGGAAAAGGAUUUUUAACAACACAAGCGAAAGAAAAAAUUUAAUAAAUACAAAGUUAAUAUAGUUUGUUAUUUCCACUUAUUCAAAGGAAGAUUUGAUUUCAAUUGCAGCCACAGGAAUAUUUAGCAAAGCAAUGAAGGUAACAUUAUCCUAACUCUUAUUUAAUCUUUCUGGUUAAACUUUUUUUUACAUAAUAUUCCCAAAAAAAAACUUUUUAUACUUAUAAAAAUUAAAUAUAAGAUAUAUGGAGAUUGAUCAAUUUUACUUAGAAUUAUUAUUUUAUAUAUUAGCAAUGGAAUUUUGAAAUUCCAAAUUUUAUAACAUUAUGUAAGUCACAUUGUAUUUAUUUAUUUAUUGAGGGGUUAUAUUAGUCUCCCUACCGUGCAGAUAUGCUUGGAUGAAUUAGAAAGAUUUCUUUUCUGUCAGUUUCGUAAUGUAUCAAUUGGUUGGACACAGAUUUUCUUCUUUCUUGUUUGUUUGUUUGCGUGGAAAAUCACCCAUGAUUACUAUGAUUGGCUUUGUGGUAAAAGUGUGUUGCGGUUUGGGUUUAAUUAGUUGACUGACUUUUCAAAAGAAGACUUGGUUCUAACAAUAAAUCUAGGAGAACAUCAUAGUGCUUCUUCACAAACUAAUUAAGCCCUUAAUCUCCUUCUCUCCCGCUGAAAUUUUAGGAUGCUAAGAGCAAAACUUCCAUUAUUCGGCCUUCUGGCCCUUGCUUUAUCUCUAUUCCCUGAUGCAUGCAUCGCUAGAGGCAAACACAAGCACUGUCGCUCUUCUUCCUGUGGAAACAUUAACAUCACUUACCCUUUUCGAUUAAAAAGCCAGCCUCAUAGGUGUGGUUACAAUGAGCUUGAACUAGUGUGUGAGAAUAACCGCACCAUUUUCCCCAUGAAAUAUGGUUAUGGGAAUUUCUAUGUCCAACACAUCUCUUAUAGUAACAAAACCAUUCAAAUGUUAGACGUGAGUCUUGACGAGGAUAACUGCUCCAUUCCUCAUAGUUCCUACCCUUUCUACGUGGAUGCACUAAAUAUAUAUUCCUAUCAAACUACCACUGAACCUAGCAUCAUGUAUCUCGUAAAUUGCCCGAUCCAGAUCAACAACUCUUGGGUUUAUAUUGAUGCUUUUCGUUGUACCAAUACCCCUUCCUCUCGACCUCCUUACUUUUACUUUUUGGAUGAAAAUACUGCAAUGUCUAAUUUCCAUGAGUCAUGCACAGUUGAAGCGCAGGUUCCAAUCAUGGUUGCCAAUAUCACUGGCCUCUCUACUUUUGAUAUUUACACAAAGCUGUUGGAGGGAUUCCAACUCUCAUGGUCUUCGUAUGAUGAUAUGUCAAGGUGAGACUCAGUUUUUAACGCGUGAGGAUUUUUAAGUAUUCCAAACUAUUUGGUGCAUUUUAGUUUUUGAAAAGUAUUUAUUAUUUUUAGUUUUUAAUUUUUAAAUUACCUUUUUAACUAUGUAUAUAAAUUUUUAUAAUUAGAAUCACAAAUUUUUAUUACUGUAGUAUCUUCUUCAGACUUUGAUUAUUUACUUUUACUCUAAAUUUGUUUAAUGUAAAAUUUAAACAGAAGCAUUUAAAAUAUUUUAAACAGUGAAAGUGCGCAUUUCAUGGCCUUAUUAAGGAUAACGGUUUUGAUGUGCUUUCUUGAAUAUUAAUUAUAGAUUGCUCUGGCUGUUGCUGCAUCCGCUGCAAAUAUAUAUUCAAAGCAUCAUGGCUUUGUUUCAACCAGAUUAUUUCUAUGCACCUUAUAAAGGUAUUCGUUCUUUUUUGAGUUCAUUAAUAAUUUGAUUCUUAUUGGAUUGGCCUUUACUUUCCUGUAUAGUUGACUUGACUCUUUACGUGCAUCAUAAGUAAACUGUUAAAUUUAAUAGUUGGUUUAUUAAAAUAUUAAUAGUAUACGAAGUUAUAAAAAAUUUAUAAAAAUUAAUUAAUUAAUUUUAUAGUGGUGUUGUGUGAGUAUCGCAUAUAUGUAUACGUAUGUAUCCAAGUGACUACAUAAAAGAAGAUCCAUCAUAAAUGAUUCAUAAAUAAUUUUGAACUACAUUAAUUGGGUAUUUUUUAACUAGGUAUUUUUAUGAUGUUGUGAUUUUUUUGGUCAAAAUAAAAAUUAUGUGGAAUAAGGUCUAAAUUUACCAUUCUAUAUAUUUCGGAUAAUGGAUCAAACUUGUCAGCAUCUUUGAACGGGUGUAAUUUUGCCAUUAUACUUUUAAAUUAGUUAAAAAUGUAAUCAAAAGUUAAGACUAAUGUUAAUUUUUGACCAUUUUUGAAGUAAAUUAAAAUGUAUAAUGGUAAAAAUUGCACUUGUUUAAAAAUAAAAUAAUAAAUUUGAUCCAUCACCUUAAAUAAACUAGUGUGUGUAAAUUUAAAUUUUAUCCCAAAUUAUGUUAUGAAUUUUGUUGGGGAAAAUAUGGCAGCACAUACCCAACUUAAAUUGGUAAAUGACAUAUGCAUAGCAUAUAAUCAUGUUGUCCAACUAAUUAAUAUAUAUAUUGUUAUGUAAUUUUUUUUUUGUGAAACAGGAAUUAUAUUGCUAAGAACACUUUUGGGGAUAAUUUGCUUGAUUAUAUUGGUUAUACGCAAAUUAAAAAGGAGGCAUUUGUCGAUGGAUGACAUGAUUGAGAAUUUUCUUCAGAGUCAAAACAAUUUAAUGCCUAUAAGAUAUUCUUAUUCUGAAAUAAAAAGAAUGACGGAAGGUUUCAAGAAUAAACUAGGACAAGGAGGAUAUGGCUCUGUGUUUAAAGGAAAACUUCGAAGUGGUCAAUUUGUUGCGGUAAAAUUGUUAAACAAAUCAAAAGCUAAUGGUCAAGAUUUCAUCAAUGAAGUUGCAACUAUUGGAAGAAUUCAUCAUGUUAAUGUAGUAAGACUCAUUGGAUUUUGUGUGAAGGGAUCGAAACAAGCUCUUGUAUAUGACUUCAUGCAAAAUGGAUCCUUAGAUAAAAUAAUAUUUUCAACUGAAAGUAACACUUUGAGUUGGCAAAAAAUGUUUGAGAUUACAUUGGGAGUGGCUCGAGGUAUUGAAUAUUUACAUAGAGGUUGUGAAAUGCAAAUUUUACAUUUUGAUAUUAAGCCACAUAACAUUCUUCUAGAUGAGAACUUCAUCCCGAAAGUUUCAGAUUUUGGCCUUGCAAAAUUGUAUUCGGUGGAUGAUAGUAUUGUCUCUCUCACGGCUGCAAGAGGUACAUUAGGAUAUAUGGCUCCUGAAUUGUUUUAUAAAAAUAUUGGAAGCAUCUCAUAUAAAGCUGAUGUUUAUAGUUUUGGAAUGAUGUUAAUGGAAAUUGUCGGAAGGAGAAAAAAUGUGAAUGUCUCUGCUGAACAUUCGAGUCAAAUUUAUUUUCCAUCAUGGAUUUAUGAUCGACUUGAAGAAGGAGAUAACAUAGAGCUUAGAGAUGUAACGGAGAAUGAAAACAAAAUUAUGAGGAAAAUGUUAAUAGUAGCCUUUUGGUGCAUACAGAUGAAGCCCACAGAUCGUCCUUCAAUGAGCAAAGUCUUGAAGAUGCUUGAAAGUGAAGUUGAGCUCCUUGAAAUGCCUCCCAAGCCUGCUUUCUCUUGAAAUGUCAACCAAAUCAUUUGGUGUUGUAUUAUAAGUAAUAUUUAAUAUUGUAUGUUAAGCAAUGUUUCACUACUUUAUUAUAUUACUUUUAUAAUUUUUAUAGUAGAAACCUUAAGCUUGAGGCAUAAUCUUCUCUCUUCCAAAAAAAAACAAAAGAAACAAAAACAAUAUAGAGUGGUGAUGAAGAUAGUAUAGCAAGGAAAAGAAGGAUACUGAGUUGGAGUUUUGAGCCUGCGAAGGUAUUAUUUUAGGAGAUUUGUAAUGGUAUCUUGUUAGUAUUUUGUUUAUAUAAAAAGUCUUUUGUUCAUACAAAGGGCAAAGACUUUAAAUAGCAUUGUCUAUACAAUCAUUAUGUUAAUGCAAAUAGUUAACCAAGUUUUUAAAAAAAUUAAAGAUUUUUCUAAACCAUGUUUGGAAUUAUAAAUUUUUUAUUUAAAAAAUGUAAAUUAUUUGAGUUUUCUCUCUUAAUUAAAAAAGUCAAAUGUUAUCGAAUUCAAAUAUUUAUUUAAAACGAUUCAAAAUCAAAUUCAAUUUAAUUCAAAUUAAAUGACAAAAAUUAAAAAUUUGAAUCCAAAAAUAUGUGAAUUUAAAAUGAUAUUAAUACAAUCUACCUUCAACAUAACUCGAAUCUAAAACGAACCGAGCUCAUAAUGAUCCAAAACCCAAGAUUUAUUUGAUCCAAAACUUAUAAAAACUUAUAUUUAUAACUCCAAAAAAUCCAAAUUAUAAUUAAAUAAAUUUAUUUAAUAGCUAAAUGAGUAAAUGAUUAUUUUUUAAGUGAAAAUUUUAAGACACACAAGCACCUUUUUCUCGUCAAUGCUUUUUCUUUGCACAGAAAAAGCGCAUAGGAAUGGCAUGGUCAACUACUCUGCUUCACCUUCACUUCAAAUUCCCUCCGGUUUCUUCUCAUCAAUUGCCACAUUCCCUCCCCAAAAAAUCCCCAAUCUUCCUAAACCCUAUCCCUAUAAUUCCCAAUUCCAAACACCCCAAAAUGCAAUUCCUUCACAGACCCAACGCGUUUCCAGGCCAAGGCGCAGUAUCAAAAGCCAUGGACAUCAUCCAAUCCUCUCUGCCCACGUGGCAAUCGGCCUUCCUCAGCAACCUCGUGAUCUUCGUUGUCGGAACCCCACUUUUAAUAGCGGGACUAUCUCUCUCCGGAAUUUGCGCUGCCUUCUUGCUUGGCACUCUCACUUGGCGCGCUUUUGGGUCUUCUGGGUUCCUCCUCGUUGCUUCUUACUUCGUUAUAGUGAGUCAUUACAAAGUCUAUGGAUUUUAUUUGAAUUAUAGGAUUUAAGUUAAAUUUAGAAAUGGGGUUCUGAUUUUUGUUCCCAUUUGGUAUAAAGUUUACGCUUUGGAGGACAAGUUUCAUUGUUUGGUAAAUAUGGCAAAGGAAAAGAAAUUUAGUUUAUGUCAAAAAGAUUUCAUGUGACGUAGUUUGUUAUUUAAGUGUGAUUUGUUUUUGUUUAAAGAAUUGGAUUACACUAGGUGAAAUCAGGUCAAAACCAUAACCAAAAUAUUUUUUCCAAAAUUUCUUUAUUUUCAUUUGUUUUCCUCUUGGUGGGGGGCAGGUGGAGGAGCCAGGGAGAAUUUAUGGGUUCUCGCAGUUUUAGACUAGUUUGAAACGAUAUAGUAUUGUUUUUCCUGCUUUCCUUUCUGAUAAUGGCUUGUUUUACUUGCAAAAUGAAUCUUGAAUUAGUUCCUCCUUCCCUCUUCUGAUUUUCCCUACCCAUAUUUCUAGUUGAAGAUAAUAGUUUCAAAUCAUGCUUGAAAACUAUAUUACAAAAUACUUGUAAUAUCAAACAAUUUUGUGUGGCAUUCGAGUUUCUAAUUUGAAUGGAGAAAUAAUUGGGAUGGAAGUGGUAUUAAAUUUAGAGGAAAGAAACAAGAAUGCCUUUUGCAACAUUACAAAGAAAAGAAAAGAAAACCUAGUAUAAAACUUCGGAAGAUGCUUGAUUAUAAGGUGCUGGGCUUUUGAGGACCUGAGACUUCAUAAUACUUUAUAAUUCUCUAGAUCUUCAGGCAAUCUUACAGCUCUUUGUCAUGCCUCUAAAACAAAUGCGGUAAAACCAUGCUCAAUUGUUCAAAUUGUUAUGCUCAAUUGAGAACUCCUGACCUGUUAUGUGUGUGUGGAGAUGAUAACACCAAUGAAUGGCCUUGUUAUACGGAUGACCGCUCAUGAUAAUUGCUACUUCAAAAAUUAUUGGCUUAGAUUUUGCUGCUGUGUUUUGAAACUUGUUGGCAUGCCUCACGAAUGCUGCGAAAUGUGCAGAAGGUUUCUGAGAUCUUGCUGCCAUCUAAGAAGAAAGAAUAGGUGAAAUUGUACAGGUACUAUGAAUAUGAUGUAAUGUUUAGCUUUUUUAUAGGGACUUCCUUUUUGUAUAGUGAACUUGGUUGCAUUGGAAUGAGUCUGUUCUCUGGGAAGAAUCACUGUUCUGAAAUUUGUUAAGUCUGAUCACAAUUGCAACCAGGAGCGGCAUGCCUUGCUUUUCUUCUCAUAGGGCAUGAGGGUAUCCCAUCAGGGUUCUUUUUGUGAACCCCUCUUAUGAAAUAACAUCUUCUAUGCCUUUCCAAAAAAAAAAAAGUAACAAUCACAUGGCAUAAUUUUUUCUUACAAUAUGAGAGUACUACAUCAGAGUUUCUUAAUGCACUAAGAAAAGUUAGAGAUAAGGUCUAAGAAAAUAUCAAUUUCAAGAAGAAACAAAUAACACUAGAAUCAUAUUUUACAAAAAUAUCAUAAUUGAGUCAUGUAUAUAAAUAAUUUUGAUGUAUGAGGAAAUUAUUAAUUUAUAUAUCAAGUGAGAUCUAUGUGUUUUUUUUCAAAAUGUAUUAUCUUAUUAAUUUAACAAAUUAUUAAUUUAUCAUGUUGAUCUCAAAUCAGGACCAACCAAAAUUAAUAUUUAUUCAAAAUUAUUAAUUUAUCAAGUAUUAUUUAUAGAAGAUUUGUUGUACUUCUUUGUAAUUCACUCUAAAUAAAAGGGUAUGUUGAAACAAGCGGAAUUUAGAUCCCUUAUGGUUCUUGCUACAUUUAAGUACUAUUAAUGUCAUUUAUGCUGGUUAUAAAGAUCUGACAUUUUAUUUAGAAACAAAAUUUGUAGAGUGUCAAGCUUUAAUAGCUUUUUUUUUUUGUUGCUUUUUAAUGUUUAUAUUCGUUGCUAUAUACUAUUUUUUUCCCUAUCAAACCAUUCUUUCAUGCUUACAAAUUUAAAUUUGUGGUGUGCAAAAAUUGUUGGUGUAUUUUCAAAAAUCAAAGGUUAUGUCACAUAAUCAAAAGCUAUCUUAGCUCAAAGGUUUGUCACAUAAAGUGACAUAGUGUGACUAUUGGAUUGUAGACAGGUUAUNUUGGUGUAUUUUCAAAAUCAAAUGUUAUGUCACAUAAUAAAAAGCUAUUUUAGCUCAAAGGUUGUCACAUAAAGUGACAUAGUGUGACUAUUGGAUUGUAGACAGGUUAUUGUUUCAUUAGAUAUGAAAAGUUAUUGUUUCAAAUUAUAACUCAAAGAUUAUGAUUUAUGGAAUGAAUAGUUGUCCUUUCAUUAGAUGAUUAUUGAAACAAUACAUUUAUCUUAAAGUUGUGUCUAGCAAAAUGUAAAGAUGUCUUUUAGACAAAAUGGUGUCUUAAUAAAAGGGUUGUGUCCUUGAAGAAGAGACACUUGCAAGCCUAUGUAAAGGGCUUGUUGCCAACCAUUUUUACACAUCAAAUCAAAAACAAAACAAGAACAGAAAAUCAAGAGUAAGAAAGUGUUGUGUUCUAUUAACAUAAACACUUAAGUUCCCAUCAACUACAAAAGCAUCAAAAUUUCUUAUAAUCUACUUGUUGUAGAAAGUAAGCUCUAAAGCCAAACAACUUUGCAAACCCUUAGAUAUAUCUAGUGGUCUACUCUCGUAAAGUGCAAGACAAAGUUAAACGUUAGCUUCAUUGUAUCCUUAAAACUAUUCGCAUUAUUUCUCUUUGCAUACUGAGUGGUGGGGAUGAAAUAAGUUUUAAAAAUAAUGUCUAUUGAAAAGCUCGCCUUAAAAUCAAUUUUGUUGGUUCUUAAAUUUCAUCUAAACCUCAUUUGCACCAACAAAAAUGAACAGGUACCUACUUUACUUUAUUAUUCUACUUUUAUUAUAUAAUUUUUAUAGUCUCCUUUUUCAUCUUAUAUACGGAAUCAGAUCCAUAUAGAAACCUUAAGCUUGAGGCAUAAGCUUCUCUCUUAUGAAAAUAAAAUAAAAUAAAAUAAAAUAAAAAUCAAGAGCAGUAUAUAUACCAUUGUGAAUGAAUAAAGUAUAAAAUCAUAGUGCCUUUUGAGAUACAAAACAUUGUGAAUGCGACAAGAAGUAUUAGUUGUAAUGUGUUAAUGGUCAUUUUUAAAUCAAAUUAAAAAUGUUACUAUUAGCAAUAUCAAGAAUUGCCAAGGAGAAAUUCAUUGAUAAAAUGACAAAUACCCGAAUUCUCUUCAUUGGCAACUUUACUAAAAAUCACUUUCAACGAAAAAAAAUUAGUAAAAGAUCUUCCAUAUUAUCUCUAUAUAUAGUAUAAUAUCAAAAUUUAGUAUUCUAAAAAUUUUAUUUUAUGCUGUUUUAGUACUAACAUAUUUUAAACAAUAUCAUUGUUUAUAUUAUUAUUACACGGACACUACUUACAUAUAAUAUAUAUAUAUAUAUAUAAAAGAUAAUAGCAUUGUUAGCUUUAUUAGAAUGAAUAAUUGAUUUUUUUUAAAAAUAGAAUGAAUAAUCUAACGAGAUGAAUUGGAUUUUAAAAACUUUUUUUGACAAAAUAAAAUCUAAAAAAAAAACACAUCAAAUAAUAAAAUCAAAACCAUUAAAUAAAUAUUUAACUGAAAAUAAAUGUAAUAAAAAUAAAUAGUAUAGGGUAAAAAUAUUUGCAAGAACCAUUUAUAAAGGUUCAAUCUUGUCUCUUGGUAUUUAUGUCACAAGUCUACUUUCUAAUCCAAAAGACAUGCAUAUUAAGUAAAGAUAGACAUUUAUUUAUAAAUCCAAGACUCAACUCAUCUCUUAUUAAUGUAAGAUCUAUCACAUUCUACCUCACCUAAUUGUUCAAUACGUUCGUUGCAUCGGCUCCUUUACUCAUAGAGGAGAGGGACCGUAUCUUGAUCUAAGUCUACCUCGAACCUGAUAUCUUUUAUAAAAGUUUCAUACUAGUUAAGAGUUAAGUUUGCUCUAAUACCACUAAUCACGAGUUCACAUUUCUAAUCCAAAAAAUAUACAUAUUAGAUAGAGAGAGGCCCUUAUUUGUAAAUCAAGACCCACCCAUAUGACACUUACAUUCUCUCUCUUAGUGUAGUAAAGAGUUCAAUACACUACUUAAUUCAACCAAUACAAAUACUAUUUUCUUGCGUAUCCAAAACAUGCAAAAAAUGCUCUACUUCCCUAUGUGAUACCUCAGAUGAAAUAAAUUAUUUCCUCAUCUUUAAAAGAAAAUACAAUAAUUGUAAAUUUUAUUUUUCUCCUAUUUUAUGUAACAGCCUCAACUUUGACUAAGGUUAUAAAUUACUUGUGUUGAACCAUUUGAUAACUUGCCAUGAGAUUUAAACAUAUGUAUUAAAUAUAUGAACAAAUGACAAUGUGUUUAAGGAUCUUGAAUGAUAAACUAUUAGGGUAAAAUACCCUUACCCCUCUAAGUUUUGAUUGAAAUUACAUGGAGGUCCAUUAGUUUUCAAAAUAGACACUCCGCCCCAAAAAAAUAUUUUUCACUGGACAUUUAGGUCCAGUUGUUAGUCAACCAUUAGUGUUUCCGUCAAUUUGAUGAUGUGAUAAGGGUAAAAACAUAAUUUCACCAUUGAUUAAUUUUUAAAAUUACUAUUAUAUAAUUUUAUUAAUUUUUUAAUUAAUUAAAAUAAAAAAGCUCCUCAAGGAGCAUUAAAGCUCCCUGGGAAGCACCAAUCGGGUGCUCCCCUCCCUUGAGGAGCACGAUGCUCUCUUUUUUAAAAUUUUUUUAAACAUAUAAUAUAAUUUUUAAAAUUUAUAUAAAAAAAAGAAAAGACAUUUUAGUCUUUUCCUAAUCUCUAUUAACGGUAUUUUCAUUUUUAGGACAAAGUGUCCAUUUCAAAAACUAAUAGACCUGCUUAAAAUUUGAACUAAAACUUAAAAGGUAGGGGUAUUUUACCCUAAAAUAUUAUGUUUUUGAUUAGAUUUUAGACCUUAAGCUAUGUGUUGAUAUGUUUUGACACUGAAUAUUGGUUAAUGUGGUGCAUACUAGUUGCAUUAAGAUGAAUAUUGAAAUAACAAAUCGUUUUGGAAGUCCAAAUUUGGAGUUAGGUAGUUUGAAGUGUUGAAAGUUUGCCUUUAGGAGAAAAUGUAUUGAUAAAUUCCUUGAUCUAUCAAUACAUUCAUGGCAGAAUGCCUUGGCAAAGCUUUCUAUCAAUACAUUCUAGAAUGUUUCGAUAGAUUUGGGCCAGGAGGCAUUCUAUAUGAAAACUCUCGAACAUUACAAGAACGUAUUGAUAGAUUUAAAAAGAUGGAUAUUUUGUAAAAAAGGUAUUUAUAGAUUUUCUUGAUCGAUCGAUACAUUUCAAGCAUAAAGCAUUCUUUUAAAUUUACUUCAAUAUGUUGGUACAUGUAUCGAUAGAUCUGAUGAAAAUUCGUGAAAAUGUAUCAAUGCAUGAUUGUAAGUCAGCAAAAAUAAAAGAGACUUUGGGCAUUCCACCCAUUUGAAAACACAAGGAAACAAAAGCUUUCCCUCCUUGCCUUUGAAACCCUAAAACCCCCUAGUAGAUUGGAACUAAUUUGGAGUACUUGGAAGCUUGGAAAUUCAUACUUAAGGUAAGAUCAAGCUUCCUAACAUUUUGAAUUACAUUUUAAUCGGUUCAAAAAUGAGAAUUUGACUAUGGUUUCAUCUCAAUUAUCUUCUCCUUGAGUUGUUGGGAUUUUGGAGUCUUAAGGGCUUAGAAUAGCUGCCAAGGUGAGGAAACCUAACUGUUUUGAACAUUGGAAACAAUGAAACCUAUGAUUUGGAUUGGUAGUUGGAUUUAGAAGCUCAGUUAGGCUUAGAAAAUCUGUGCAUGCUUUGAAAAAAGCUAAAGGUCUAGAAUUUAUGGAUUUGUUAGGUGAAGUGGGAACUUAGAGCUGUUGAUGAACUGAAAUUCUAUGUGGAAUGAUGGACGCAGUGUUUAGCUGAGUGUGAUGUCUUGGCUUCUUCUUGGAAGAAUGUUGCAGCACUAAAACUUUACUAUUUAGCAAUGUGAGUUACGUUAGAGAUAUUCUAGGUCAGUGGGGCAUUUUAUCUAGAAAUUAAGAUUUGAUGUAUGUAUGCACAAAUGUAUGCAUGUGCACUGCCAUGAAACAUGAUUGGUUGAUAAAAUGCUUAGAUGAACUAUGCAUAGGCCGAUGGGUUGAUUGAGCUCUAUUAUAGCUAUGUAUGUUAAUAAUAAAAACCUGUUUGAUAUUGGGUGAGCCAUGUGGUGGUGAUUGAGCUUGACUGUCUUAGUAUUCGCGACUAAAAAGUCUAUUGACCAUGCCUCUGCGCUUGUAUAAAACUUAUAACUUGAUACCUUUUUCUGUGGUAGCGUAUGAUUAUUGCUAAUUCUACGAAAUAAUGUUAUUAGUGAACUAUGGAAAAUCUGAAUUAUGAAAGUUGAUUGAGUUGCAUUCGUAAUUAUGCAUGUAUGAUGCCAAAUGGCUAUGUUAAUGACUUUUGCACAUGUAAUGGCGACACAAUUCCUAAUGGUAAUUGGUUUCGUCUUACGAGUGCUUUCUGGACGAUGAUAUGGUCUAGUUAGAAGGUGUCAUAGUCCCUGUGGUCUUGCUUACCAUUAGCAGUUUAGGCGUUGGACGUGUUUUGUUUACUUGGGAAGACCCUUCUCUUGUUACCAUCUUGAUGAUAACACAAUUUAAUUAGUUGACUUGACUGUCUUUUCAAUCCAAGACAAGUGAGCGAGAAAAACUGCACCAUUGCUCCAUGAAACCUUACAACUCUUAGACGUGAGUCUUGACCUCAUCGAUAGUUCCUAUCCUUGCUACACUCCUUGUGGAAAAAGCCUACCACUCGGCAGAAGAUAUGGUAUGCAUCUCCCUCAUCAUACAUGCACCUUAACAUAGGGUCAUGUAUCUCUUAAAUUGUAGGAUGAAGAUGAAGUCUUCGGUUUACAUUGAUGCUUUCUCAUUGCACCAAUCGAUGUUCCUCUCCACAUUAUUUCAUUCUUCAGUCAAAUUAUUCAUUGUUAACAACUAACGGAAAUGUAAGUGUGGAUUAUUCACGUGACAUGUUAAAUAAUUUUUACCAUGAUAUUUUAUUACUGUUAACAGUACAAUCUGAUAAAAAGAAUAAAAUGAAACCAUUUUAAAAUAUUAUGUGUAAAAUAUAUGAAAAAAGAUUAUAGAUUUAAUUUGAUUACAUUGCUGCCGGACUUACCAAAAUAAUUGUAGAAGCAUGUCUAAUGAUUAUAGGCAUAGCUCUUCAAAGAAAAAUACUGUUUUAUACUUAACAAAAAGAUAAAUGUAAAAUAUAAAAUUGAUCAAUUUUGUUUAGAAUUAUUAUUUUAUAUAUUUUGAAAUUUUGAAAUUUCAAAAUAUAUAAUAUUAUUUAAGUCGUAUUAUAUAUUAUAUAAUUGAAGGGUUAUAUUAAUCGCCUUACUGUGCAGAUAUACUUGGAUGAAUUAUAAAGAUUUCUUUUCUAUUAGUUUCGCUACGUAUCAAUUGGUUGGACACAUUUUAUAAUAAAUAUAAGAGACCAUCAUAGUGCUUCUUCACAAACUAGGACCUUAAUCUCCUUCUCUCCCGCUGAAAUUUUAGGAUGCCAAGAGCAAAACUUCCAUUAUUUUGCCUCUUGGCUUUUGCUUUAUCUCUAUUCCCCGACUGAGGCUCUUCUAUCUGUGGAAAUGUUACCAUCAAAAAGCCCUUUAAGUUAAAAAGCCAACCUCUCAGGUGUGGAAACCGUGAGCUAGUAGUCGAGUGUGACGAUAAUAACCACACCAUUUUCCCCAUGAAAUAUGGGAAAUUCCUUGUCCAAGACAUCUCUUAUAAUAACGGUACAAUUCAACUUUUAGACGAGAGUCUUGGCAAUGAUAACUGCUCCAUUCCUCAUAGGUCCUAUCCUUUGUACAUCCCUUUUGCGAAAAAACAACGUCUCUAUGAAGAUACCACUGAAUUUAGCAUCAUGUAUCUCGUAAAGUGCACGAUGCAGAUCAACUACUCUCGGGUUUAUAUCGAUGCUUUUCGUUGCACCAAUACUCCUUCCUCUCUACCUCCUUACUUGUAUUUUUUGGAUAAAAAAACAGCAAAGUCUGAUUUCCAUGAGUCAUGCAGAAUUGAAGCCCAGGUUCCAAUCAUGGUUGCCAGUAUCACUGGCCUCUCUACUUCUGAUAUUUACACAAAACUGUUGACGGGGUUCCGACUCUCAUGGUGGGAUUAUGCUUAUCAGUUUGGCUGGCUGCGGUGGGACUCAAUUGUUAACGUGUGAGGAUCUUUAAGUAUUCCAAAAUAUUUGGUGCUGUUUAGUUUUUGGAAAUGUUAACUAUUUUUAUUAUAAAUAAACAAAUAAGAUAAAAAUUUUAGUCUUUAUUUCUUUUUAAAAAGUUGACAACAUUUUUAAAUUACUAUUUUAACUAUGUAUAUUAAUUUGUUAUCUAAAAUUUAAACUCGAUAUUUUUAAAGAAUUACAGACUUUAAUUCUAUUAAUGUAGUGUCUACUUCAGACUUCAAUUAUUUCCUUUAAAUAUGUUUAGUGUAAAAUUUAAAGAUAAGGAUUUAAAGCAUUUUUAACAGUAAAAGUGUGCAUUCCAUUUAACUUAUUAAGGAUUAGCGGUUUUGAUGUUCUUUCUUGAAUAUUAAUUAUAGAUUGCUAUGGGUUUUAAAAAAAAAAGGAAGUAUAGAUUGCUAUCCUUGGUCAACCUUUUGCUGGCUCCGCUGUUUAUAUUUAUUGAAAGCAACGCGGCUCUUCUGCUAGGCAUCCCAACAGAGGAUUCAUUGGUAGAUAACAAAGGUGUUCUUUCUUUUCUGAGUUUGUUACUAUUUUGAUUAUUAUUGGAUUUACCUUUACUUUCCUAGGAUCUAUUAACACUUAGUUCUCGAAUCGGUAAAAUCUUAGCAUGAAUCCAGAUUUAUAUUUAUAUAUCAUUAAUUUAACAAUUGUAUUUCGUAAUCUAUUUACUUAUAUCAUGCAUGAUAAAUUUUAAGUUAAUUGAAAAUAUUUAAUUAUUUAAAUGAGAACAUUAAAAUUUUGACCAUUAAAUAUAUAUUAAAAAACCAAUAUUCUUGAGCAAUACGAUAUGGAUUAUCACAUUGAUUUGAAAUUUUAAAUGUAUGAUGAGUACGAAUAGUGUAUGAAAUUAUAAAAAGGUGUAAAACUUAAUUAAUUUUUAACUUGAGCCCUCAAAUUUAUAUAGUUUGUAUGAGUAUUGCAUAUAAAGUAUAUGUAUGUACAAAGAGAUUCCAAUAAAGGAUAAAAUUAUUUAAUAAGAGACGAUAUACUAUAAAUAAUUCAUGAAUAAUAUUGAACUACAUUAAUUGGGUUUUUUUCAGUUAGGUAUUUCUAUGUUGUUACGAUUUUUUUGGUCAAAAUAAAAAUUUUGUCCAAGUUUAUCAUAUUACUUGAAUGAGUACAAUUUUGUCAAUAUACUUUUAAAUUUGUUAAAAGAGAUCAAAAGUUACAAAAUGAACUAAAAUGUACAAUGAUAAAUAUUACACUCGUUAAAAAAAUAAAUAGUAAAUUUGAUCCAUCACCUUAAGUCUAGUGGUGAUAAAUUUAAACCUUAUCUCAAAUUAUUUUAUGAAGUUUGUUUGUGAAAUAUGGCAACAUAUACACAAAUUAAGUUAGUAACUAGCAUGUACAUAUUCUAUAAUCUUGUUGUCCAACUAAUUGGUUUAUAUAUAUGUUUUGUACUCUCUUUUUUUUUUUAUGAGAAACAGGAAUUAUAUUGUUAAGAACUUUUUUGGAGAUAACUUGCUUGAUUGUAUUUGUUAUACACAAAUUAAAAAUGUGGCAUUUGUCUAUGGAUGACAAGAUUGAGAAUUUUCUUCAGAGUCAAAACAAUUUAAUGCCUAUAAGAGACUCUUAUUCUGAAAUAAAAAGAAUAACAGAUGGCUUCAACAAUAAAUUAGGUCAAGGAGGAUAUGGCUCUAUAUUUAAAGGAAAACUUCGAAGUGAUCAACUUGUUGCAAUAAAAUUGUUAAACAAAUCAAAAGCUAACACCCAAGAUUUCACCAAUGAAGUUGCAACUAUUGGAAGGAUUCAUCAUGUUAAUGUGGUAAGACUUAUUGGAUUUUACGUGAAGGGAUCAAAACAAGCUCUUGUAUAUGACUUCAUGAAGAAUGGGUCCUUGGA
Molecule: long non-coding RNA, 36106 nt
Filed under: Theobroma cacao (cacao)
Lineage: Eukaryota; Viridiplantae; Streptophyta; Magnoliopsida; Malvales; Malvaceae
Description: long non-coding RNA (TCAC_LNC004316)
Source: RNAcentral